Molecule: ribosomal RNA, 140 nt
Filed under: Brephosceles decapus
Lineage: Eukaryota; Metazoa; Arthropoda; Arachnida; Sarcoptiformes; Alloptidae
Description: partial 16S large subunit ribosomal RNA
Source: RNAcentral
AAUUUUCUAAGUCUUUAUUUAUUUUUAUUUUUAAUUUAUAUUUUUGUUGAAAAUAACAAUUUAUUCUUUAAGACUAAAAGACCCUAGAAUUUUUAAGAAAAUGUUUCUUUUUUUUGGGGUAAUAAAAUAAUAUAAAUAAA